CCAGCAGCUGCGGUAAUUCCAGCUCCAAUAGCGUAUAUUAAAGUUGUUGCAGUUAAAAAGCUCGUAGUUGGAUUUCUGGUAGGAUGACUGUGCCCUCAGCAGAGCGUGCGCAGGCGUCUUGCCAUCCUUCUGUUAACCUUUGAGAGCUUCAUCGCUCUCUUUGGGGCUCAGAUAUUUUACCUUGAGAAAAUUAGAGUGUUUAAAGCAGGCUUACGCUUGAAUACAUUAGCAUGGAAUAAUGGAAUAGGACUUUGGUUCUAUUUUGUUGGUUUCUAGGACCAAAGUAAUGAUGAAUAGGGAUAGUUGGGGGCAUUAGUAUUGAGCUGUCAGAGGUGAAAUUCUUGGAUUUGCUCAAGACUAACAACUGCGAAAGCAUUUGCCAAGGAUGUUUUCAUUGAUCAAGAACGAACGU
RNAcentral lists this ribosomal RNA (412 nucleotides) under uncultured eukaryote. RNAcentral's name for it is "SSU rRNA". It matches the Rfam family "Eukaryotic small subunit ribosomal RNA", at positions 567 to 990 of the family's 1831-position model. The record is from RNAcentral.